GUAGUCGAAUAUAGCAUGAAAAAGCUGUCGACGUGAAAAAUCUCACAUGAAAAGUGAAAUUCAGUAGUGUUCUUUGACUCUUCAUCCAGUCAGAAUAGUCAUCUAAGAAGCACGAAUCCCCCUACUGAAAGGGUGUAAUAAAUAAGUAGAUUCAGGAAAGUGACAGUAGUUGGACAAGUGAAUCCAGCAAAAAGAUCAGGAUGGUCAUGGACGAGGCAACUUGCGUAGCUGAUAAAAAGAAUUCUAAACAAAUGGGAUUAUGUAUGUGAUUGGAAAAAUUAUCUAUGGUUGCUCGAAGUUAGUGGUCUCUCCAUGCUUGAUCAAUCCGGUUCCAGUAUGGUGAAAAUAACUAUGCAGAACCAGAUAAGCAUUAAGUUACUGAUGCUCAUGCUUUUGAGGUAGAG
This 404-nucleotide unclassified non-coding RNA is filed under the name Hevea brasiliensis (rubber tree). Lineage: Eukaryota; Viridiplantae; Streptophyta; Magnoliopsida; Malpighiales; Euphorbiaceae. The record is from RNAcentral.